UAUAAGCAAUCUAUACUGUGAAACUGCGAAUGGCUCAUUAAAUCAGUUAUCGUUUAUUUGAUAGUACCUUACUACUUGGAUAACCGUGGUAAUUCUAGAGCUAAUACAUGCUAAAAACCUCGACUUCGGAAGGGGUGUAUUUAUUAGAUAAAAAACCAAUGCCCUUCGGGGCUCCUUGGUGAUUCAUGAUAACUUAACGAAUCGCAUGGCCUUGCGCCGGCGAUGGUUCAUUCAAAUUUCUGCCCUAUCAACUUUCGAUGGUAGGAUAGUGGCCUACCAUGGUAUCAACGGGUAACGGGGAAUUAGGGUUCUAUUCCGGAGAGGGAGCCUGAGAAACGGCUACCACAUCCAAGGAAGGCAGCAGGCGCGCAAAUUACCCAAUCCCGACACGGGGAGGUAGUGACAAUAAAUACUGAUACAGGGCUCUUUUGGGUCUUGUAAUUGGAAUGAGUACAAUUUAAAUACCUUAACGAGGAACAAUUGGAGGGCAAGUCUGGUGCCAGCAGCCGCGGUAAUUCCAGCUCCAAUAGCGUAUAUUAAAGUUGUUGCAGUUAAAAAGCUCGUAGUUGAACCUUGGGCCUGGCUGGCCGGUCCGCCUCACCGCGUGUACUGGUCCGGCCGGGCCUUUCCUUCUGGGGAUCCGCAUGCCCUUCACUGGGUGUGUCGGGGAACCAGGACUUUUACUUUGAAAAAAUUAGAGUGUUCAAAGCAGGCCUUUGCUCGAAUACAUUAGCAUGGAAUAAUAGAAUAGGACGUGCGGUCCUAUUUUGUUGGUUUCUAGGACCGCCGUAAUGAUUAAUAGGGAUAGUCGGGGGCAUCAGUAUUCAAUUGUCAGAGGUGAAAUUCUUGGAUUUAUUGAAGACUAACUACUGCGAAAGCAUUUGCCAAGGAUGUUUUCAUUAAUCAGUGAACGAAAGUUAGGGGAUCGAAGACGAUCAGAUACCGUCGUAGUCUUAACCGUAAACUAUGCCGACUAGGGAUCGGGCGAUGUUAUUCUUUUGACUCGCUCGGCACCUUACGAGAAAUCAAAGUCUUUGGGUUCU
This 1043-nucleotide ribosomal RNA is filed under the name Cophinforma atrovirens. RNAcentral's name for it is "SSU rRNA". It matches the Rfam family "Eukaryotic small subunit ribosomal RNA", at positions 64 to 1115 of the family's 1831-position model. Lineage: Eukaryota; Fungi; Ascomycota; Dothideomycetes; Botryosphaeriales; Botryosphaeriaceae. The record is from RNAcentral.